Molecule: ribosomal RNA, 428 nt
Filed under: uncultured bacterium
Lineage: Bacteria
Description: bacterial SSU rRNA
Rfam family: Bacterial small subunit ribosomal RNA
Source: RNAcentral
UAGGGAAUUUUCGUCAAUGGGCGCAAGCCUGAACGAGCAAUGCCGCGUGAGCGAAGAAGGUCUUAGGAUUGUAAAGCUCUGUUGACAGGGAAAAGAGGUUAAAAGAGGAAAUGCUUUUAAUAGGAUGGUACCUGUCGAGGAAGCCACGGCUAACUACGUGCCAGCAGCCGCGGUAAUACGUAGGUGGCGAGCGUUAUCCGGAAUGAUUGGGCGUAAAGGGUGCGCAGGCGGAUGAUUAAGUCUAAGAGAAAAGAUAAGGGCUCAACCCUUGUAAAGCUUAGAAACUGAUGAUCUUGAGGACGGGAGAGGGCAGUGGAACUCCAUGUGUAGCGGUAAAAUGCGUAGAUAUAUGGAAGAACACCAGUGGCGAAGGCGACUGCCUGGCCCGUGACUGACGCUGAGGCACGAAAGCGUGGGGAGCAAAUAGG